GAUGAACGCUGGCGGCGUGCCUAAUACAUGCAAGUCGAGCGAACGGACGAGAAGCUUGCUUCUCUGAUGUUAGCGGCGGACGGGUGAGUAACACGUGGAUAACCUACCUAUAAGACUGGGAUAACUUCGAGAAACCGGAGCUAAUACCGGAUAAUAUUUUGAACCGCAUGGUUCAAAAGUGAAAGACGGUCUUGCUGUCACUUAUAGCUGCAUCACCGCUGCAUUAGCUAGUUGGUGAGGUAACGGCUUACCACGGCAACGAUGCAUAACCGAGCUGAGAGAGUGAUCGGCGACCCUGGAACUUAACCAGGGUCCAGACUCCUACGAGAGGACGCAGCAGACAACCUUCGGCAACGGGCGAAAGCCUGACGGAGCGACGCCGAGUGAGUGGUGCAGAUGUCAGGAUCGUGACGCUCUGCUAUUAGGGAAGAACAUAUGUGUAAGUAACUGUACACAUCUUGACGGUAACUAAUCAGAAAGCCACGGCUAACUACGUG
RNAcentral lists this ribosomal RNA (497 nucleotides) under uncultured bacterium. RNAcentral describes it as "partial 16S ribosomal RNA". It matches the Rfam family "Bacterial small subunit ribosomal RNA", at positions 28 to 507 of the family's 1533-position model. The record is from RNAcentral.